This 76-nucleotide transfer RNA is filed under the name Gammaproteobacteria bacterium. RNAcentral's name for it is "tRNA-Ala". It matches the Rfam family "tRNA". From Rfam's summary of the family: Transfer RNA (tRNA) molecules are approximately 80 nucleotides in length. Their secondary structure includes four short double-helical elements and three loops (D, anti-codon, and T loops). The record is from RNAcentral. Lineage: Bacteria; Pseudomonadati; Pseudomonadota; Gammaproteobacteria.
GGGGCCAUAGCUCAGUUGGGAGAGCGCAACACUGGCAGUGUUGAGGUCGGCGGUUCGAGCCCGCCUGGCUCCACCA